This 196-nucleotide unclassified non-coding RNA is filed under the name uncultured fungus. RNAcentral's name for it is "sequence contains ITS1, 5.8S rRNA gene". The record is from RNAcentral. Lineage: Eukaryota; Fungi.
ACGUAUCUCUGGCGACGCCGGUCGCCCUGCUCCGGCCGCGAGGCCGUGCAGCGGGUGGCCUGCGCUGUCCAAAACCUUACAAACCCACCGUGCACACUCACGGCAAAAGGCCAAGGGCGAGAGCCCACGGUCGGAUGCCGUUUCACAAACCCUAACCAUUGAACGCAUGCGACCCUGUGUCGCCUAACAAACAAAA